ACGGUCUGUUGUUUCGCAGGUUUAAGACUCCAUUUCGGAGUUAUCGCGUCUGUUGUGAUCGUUAUUGUAGUUGCAAUAGCAGCUGCUGUCUUCAUUAUCCGGAAAUACUGCUGUCUGCAGAGCAAUGUAACAUAUAGAUACUCAGAGCUGCGACAAAUGGAAGAACAAAAUGCAGCCAGAGAAGAGGACAAUGAUUCCGAUGAGGACCUCUUGGAGUGAAUCAUGUAGCAUAAUUUAUCCUUGCCGCUUCUCUUCCUUUUUAAUGAUGUGACAUUAUAUGGCCAAAAGCAUUACAUGGGUCAUUUAAAAACCACCAGGAGUUUCUGAAAUAUUUAUAUCUUUUCAACCAUUUUUCAGCAUGGAUAUAUC
Carassius auratus (goldfish) is the source of this 369-nucleotide long non-coding RNA. RefSeq lists it as uncharacterized. The transcript is spliced from 3 exons. The record is from RefSeq and is a predicted model, not a curated record. Lineage: Eukaryota; Metazoa; Chordata; Actinopteri; Cypriniformes; Cyprinidae.